RNAcentral lists this transfer RNA (82 nucleotides) under Uroplatus pietschmanni. RNAcentral describes it as "tRNA-Trp". The record is from RNAcentral. Lineage: Eukaryota; Metazoa; Chordata; Lepidosauria; Squamata; Gekkonidae.
GGAAUUUAGGUUAGACCAUUAUAAACCGGGAGCCUUCANCGCUUCAAAUAAGAACUAGAAGUCUCUUAAUUCCUGAAAACCC